AAGGGAGACCUAAUUCCGGUAGGAGACGAAAAAAAAGUAGUCCCUACCAAGAAUCAAUCCCAAAAGGUCGAAGCGAGGCAAGAUUGGCUUUCAAACUAGGUUCUGGGUUCAAACAAGACCUGAAUCAGGAACAAGGGCUAUUAGCUCAGGUGGUUAGAGCGCACCCCUGAUAAGGGUGAGGUCCCUGGUUCGAGUCCAGGAUGGCCCACCCGCACAGGUGGCAAAAACAAAGAAGCGAGGAAUCAGCACCUUAUCUUACUCAUAUAGUAAGAGAGAAUGCUGGCUCUGAGUAAAGAGUCCAGAGGAACCUUGAAAACUGCAUAGAGCUAGGUGAAAAAGCCAAAAAAGAAGACCGCAA
Molecule: transfer RNA, 358 nt
Filed under: uncultured Microcystis sp.
Lineage: Bacteria; Bacillati; Cyanobacteriota; Cyanophyceae; Chroococcales; Microcystaceae
Description: partial 16S-23S ribosomal RNA intergenic spacer
Rfam family: tRNA (bases 135-208)
Source: RNAcentral